This 520-nucleotide ribosomal RNA is filed under the name uncultured bacterium. Its description in RNAcentral is "bacterial SSU rRNA". It matches the Rfam family "Bacterial small subunit ribosomal RNA", at positions 120 to 674 of the family's 1533-position model. The record is from RNAcentral.
GGGAAUCUACCCAUCUCUACGGAACAACUCCGGGAAACUGGAGCUAAUACCGUAUACGUCCUUUUGGAGAAAGAUUUAUCGGAGAUGGAUGAGCCCGCGUUGGAUUAGCUAGUUGGUGGGGUAAUGGCCUACCAAGGCGACGAUCCAUAGCUGGUCUGAGAGGAUGAUCAGCCACACUGGGACUGAGACACGGCCCAGACUCCUACGGGAGGCAGCAGUGGGGAAUAUUGGACAAUGGGCGCAAGCCUGAUCCAGCCAUGCCGCGUGAGUGAUGAAGGCCCUAGGGUUGUAAAGCUCUUUCACCGGUGAAGAUAAUGACGGUAACCGGAGAAGAAGCCCCGGCUAACUUCGUGCCAGCAGCCGCGGUAAUACGAAGGGGGCUAGCGUUGUUCGGAAUUACUGGGCGUAAAGCGCACGUAGGCGGAUAUUUAAGUCAGGGGUGAAAUCCCGGGGCUCAACCCCGGAACUGCCUUUGAUACUGGGUAUCUCGAGUCCGAGAGAGGUGAGUGGAAUUCCGAGU